Long non-coding RNA from Neopelma chrysocephalum (saffron-crested tyrant-manakin), 4172 nucleotides. RefSeq lists it as uncharacterized. The transcript has 5 exons. The record is from RefSeq and is a predicted model, not a curated record. NCBI's taxonomy places the organism in Eukaryota, Metazoa, Chordata, Aves, Passeriformes, Pipridae.
AGACUGUGUUCAAAAGCCUGUAGAACAAACUUAUCAUCACUAAACAGGCUGAUAGAUAGACUUGCAUAUGCAUAUUUUUGCUACAGAAGUACCUGUUACUACACAGAGAGAAACAGCUUAAGUAAAACACCACCUAGAGCAAUGAACUUUCUCUGGCACUACAAUUUUUUAUUGAGAAGAGGAAUUAAAAAAAAUGGUAAUUCUACAGUGUUUGGGAGACUGGCUCAAACUUGCACAAUACUAAUGCAACGUCUGACCUAUGUUCAGGCCAGGAAGUUUCUGACAUGAUAUGGGUGCUCAAGCAGGGAAGAGAACACGGAAACACGACUCCAGCCCUUCUGGCUGAACACAAGAUGCGAGCUUAUCACCCGUGGAAAUGUGUGUCUCCAUGAAACCCUUCCUCUCCCCCUCCUCGAGGCUUGCAGCAGAGCCACUCCAGGAAGAUCAAUCAUGAGGGCUGUGUAAUGGGCUAAAAAUAAUGUGAGUUGUAAAACUCUGGAAACUGUUGGUCAUUUUGGGAUUUGAAGAUUCACAUGUCAGUCAAUACCAAUGACUCUUGAAUCUGGACAACAGUAGGAGCUUCUCACACCUUUUCCUUUGAAGAUACAAAGAAGCCCAACGCCUACCUGUUUCUAAAGCCCUGUCAUCAGUUUGAAGCAGAUUCAGAAUGAGGAAGAUGCUUGAGUUCAAGGAGUGGGAAUGGAAAGAAGGACAGAUUAGAAGUUACAAGAGUUGAAGAAAAUUCUGUCAUGUCUUUGUCUUCAAGCAGAAGGCUAUCAAACAAAGCUGCCCAACCUUACACUCAUCCAUCAUCCUUGAGUUAUUAAGAAAAUAGCUGCAGAACAUUUACAAGUGGAUGGGAUGGAUUGCUGGCUACUUUUCAAGAACACAGUCAAUGCUACAAAAACUUUGCAAGAUGGCAAAUUUUCUCAUGUUUCCUGUUCCUUGCUCUGCUACGACCUGCUAGAAGGAAUGGUUUCUUGAAUUUUGGGGUGACUAAUCUAGGUUGAUGCUAAAACUGUUAAUCAUUCAUAUCUAAUACCAGAUUAUAAUUUUAUCUGAGUAAAAUAUUUCUUUUUUUGGUAACUUUUUCUUAAAAAGGCUGUGGGAUACAUUGGAGGCAAGGAAGGGGUCAGAAUAAGUGCAGAUAUCUGAGGGCUAGUGUUAUAUGCCUUUCACAAGGUUAGGCUUAAAAAAAUCAAUGCCUGAAAGUAGAGGUUAAGAGAUUGCAAGUGUCUCACAUGAGAAGUGUAACAAAAUGAAAGUAAAAUAGAUCAUAACUGCACGACUUUUUCUCAGUGAUUAAAAGAGAGAGGUUGGGAUGGAGUGGAGUUGCCAUGUAAUAAUCUAAGAAUCUGAUCAGCAAUUUAGGGUGUGCACAAAGACAUCUAUGCUCCUGCAGUAUUAUUUACUCCCACAGCUUGAAAUGCUUGGAAACACAGUGCAGAGGUUCCAUGCAGGCCUGCACUGAACCAGACAUGGUGUAGCCCUGAGUGCUGUGCCAGCUGAACAUGAUUAUUCUGCCUUGCAGUCCCUCUUGGCAUAUCCACACAGUACUUUGCUGUGCUGUGAGACUUACCAAAUCAGCUCAGUGCUAGCUUGGGGAUCUCUGCAUUAUGUUCUCUGCAAUUUAAAUGUACCCUUGGAAAUUAAGCUAAUUUGUUUGACUUCUAGAGGGGUAGGAGGUUGCUUCCUGACUAGCCAGCAUUGCUCUAAUUAGGUGGGACUAUCAGAAGACCAAAACAUGUCAGUCUGUACAGCGACUUUGCAGACAACAAUAUCUCGGCAGUCACUGAAACACUGCUCCAUUUGAGCAUCCUAUAGGCUACUCAGUGAAAAGCUCCAGGUUCUUCUUUGCUGGUUUAGAUACCUACAAAUCCAGAGAUCAGCAAAUUUAUUCCCAAGAGGGAGCAGUCAGCUGUCUGGAGCUGCCACUGGGCACAGGUCAAAGUGGGGAGAGGUUUUGGAGUCCAGAGGAGCAGCCAUCAGUCAGCCUUAGUGGGAGGCAGAGAGACAAACUGAUACAGAUAGCUCUUUUGUUGUGGAGCCUUUUUCUCUGCCUUGCCUUUGCUCUGAGUAACCAGGCUCUGCCUUAGCAAGGCUGUUUGCUGAUGGACACCACUACGCUCGUGGAGGCAGAAGAACUGAGAAUGAGUCAGGACCAUGAGAUAAUCCUGGCUGACCACAGCAAACUGGAGCCUGGGAGAGUCAUGGGGCUCUCUGGCAGGAGACAUGGAAACUAGGAGCCUGGGACUAUGAGAGGGAGCACCUGAUGGGAUCAGGAAUGUAAUUUACACAGUUAUAAUGACAAAAUUUAUGAACUUGCAUUUUUAAAUUCUUCUUUUUUGUGCCAGUUCAGAAAUUGGCCACAAAGUUUUGUUUAUAGACAGUAGUAAAUUUAGCAUGUCAGAAAGCAUUUAGUAUCAGGAAAAGUAGCAGUUACACUACUAAAACAUGACUAAUUUUCAGCAGCUCCACACUGUGAGUUGCCACUCAAUAACAACACUGCUUGGUGACUCCACCCUGCUUGUACAGCAAUUAGCUGGCUUUUACCACUCCAUGUUGUGAAGGACCUCAGCAAACACAGCACAGACUAGUCUUAGGGAGUAUUUACCGAAGUUGUUGUUUGUGAAGAAAUAUCACAAAUUGAGCCACAAUUACAUGAAACACAAAGGAUAAAUUUCAGUGAUAAAUUCUUCUACUCAGGAGGGAAGCUGAAUGAAAAGCAAUGGUUCCCCGCUGUAGCUGCACUCUUCUCCUCGCUUUUGUCAUUUUGUUUCGUAUCUUCCCUCUGACUUUUCUUCCUACUGUAUGUUGCUGUGAUGAACAUCACACCUGAUACCACCCAGCCUUAGCAACCCUCUGCCUUGCCUUCUGGCUCUCCUCCCUGUCUUCCUCUCAGUGACUUGUAUUUUCGUUCAGAGAUUCCAUCUCAUUAAUUAAGUUUCCAGCUGCUCCACCUCCCUCCUGAUGUGGCAUUCAACUCUAGCUCAACACUUUUAACAAAAUCCCUGGUUAUCAACCUGAUAUUUAUCAAGCACAUUUAUCUUCCUCUUGUUUAAGUCUCCUCCAGCACUGGCCUUAUCCUUUGCUUCAUUAUUUGGUUCUUCCAUUACUCCCAGGCCAUAAAUUCCCUCAAAGCUUUCUUUGUCGUUGAUCUACUUCUUCAACUCUCUUUGAACUUCUGUGUUGCACCAACACCCUGAGUGCUGGCUAUAACCCUGACUAUAGUCUGAAGAACGUGUCCACAAGAAGCACUGAAUGUUCAUGCAAGUUCACCCUGAUUUUGGAGACAGUUUCCAGUCUCCUGCUGGCACAUCUGAUGCAAAGGAAAGUCAAGUACUAGUUGUCUACUUUCAAAUUGCUCUUCUACAUGUUAUUUUGGUUUAUCCCUAAGCAAAACAAUCCUGCCUUUUUCCUUACAAUAUUUAGGAAGUAAACCUAUGUUAUAUAUUGAUUAUUCUGCUCACGCUUUGAUUCCUAGGGCAAAUGAUCUGCCCAGGUAGUCCAAGAAAAAUCCCCUCCAUUUAACCCUUCUGUGUUAGCACCAACCCAGAGACCAGCUUCUUAGACCUCACUUCUUUCUACUCUUUCCUUGUCAGCUUCUUUGUCAGCCAGCUUCAUGCUAUCAUGUCCCACACUGCAACCAAUGGCAAGUUUCCUGUCGAAGUUUAUAAAACUGCUGUCUUACAAAUAAUUCCUUGUGCUUCUCCCUUUGUUGUCAUUACCUUGAAAGCAGUUCCAUGUACCAGUGCCUAGAAAGGCAGUGAGCUUAUUCUUUUCAGAACAAGCCAUGCCAGACCAGAAGAGAGCAGCACAUUUUGUUUUGUCUUUUGAAAUUCUUAGUAUAUUAAAAGGAUCUCAUUCUGAUGCCAUUUUCUCCUAUUUUCAAAUAUUUAUUUGCAUUCCCACUCUCCCUAUAGUUUUUCUCAUCUUUCCCUUCCCUACGAGGUCCAGAGACAUUAUCAUUGCAUCCCAUAUGAGCCAAAUUAUGCCAACAGCCAGGAGGUGUGGUGGAGGCUAACUUGGGUCACACAAUUUCACUCAUCUAGGCCAUCCAGUCCUUAGUUAUUUCAGGUAAUGAGUUCAAAAUAAAUCUUAAGCCGUUAAGACAACAAUAUGACUUGAUUCUGGGUUGUAUUUUCUGUGAACAGAAUUCCUAGGAGUAUUGA